Molecule: ribosomal RNA, 253 nt
Filed under: uncultured bacterium
Lineage: Bacteria
Description: partial 16S ribosomal RNA
Rfam family: Bacterial small subunit ribosomal RNA
Source: RNAcentral
GACGGAAGGUGCAAGCGUCGCUCGGAAUCACUGGGCGUAAAGGGUGCGUAGGCGGCCGUGCAAGUCUGGCGUGAAAGCCCCGGGCUCAGCCCGGGAAGUGCGCUCGAAACUGCGCGGCUCGAGUGCCGGAGGGGAGAGUGGAAUUCCUGGUGUAGCGGUGAAAUGCGUAGAUAUCAGGAGGAAUACCGGUGGCGAAAGCGACUCUCUGGACGGCAACUGACGCUGAGGCACGAAAGCGUGGGGAGCAAACAGG